GAAAUGCGAUACGUAAUGCGAAUUGCAGAAUUCAGUGAAUCAUCAAAUCUUUGAACGCAACUUGCGCUCUUGGGUAUCCCCGAGAGCAUGCUUCUUUGAGUAUCGUUUCAACCCACUCUCGGCCUCGUGCUGGGGAAAAUGAGUGUUUUUUCUCUAUGCGGUAGUGUAGAGUCACUUGAAGUGGAGCUGCGCUGUUCUACUCACAAAUCAAAUCGCUUAUUGUUAAGUCCUGGUUCCGCUAAAAGUCUGCUUUUAGCCGGGUCUCGGAUCGCCAACUAGCCUUUGAUGUUUGAUACUUGACUUCGGUCAUCAUUUCAUUCUA
RNAcentral lists this unclassified non-coding RNA (322 nucleotides) under uncultured fungus. RNAcentral's name for it is "sequence contains ITS1". The stretch from base 1 to 105 matches the Rfam family "5.8S ribosomal RNA", at positions 50 to 154 of the family's 154-position model. Lineage: Eukaryota; Fungi. The record is from RNAcentral.